UGCAAGUCGAGCGGGCGUAGCAAUACGUCAGCGGCAGACGGGUGAGUAACGCGUGGGAACGUACCUUUUGGUUCGGAACAACACAGGGAAACUUGUGCUAAUACCGGAUAAGCCCUUACGGGGAAAGAUUUAUCGCCGAAAGAUCGGCCCGCGUCUGAUUAGCUAGUUGGUAGGGUAACGGCCUACCAAGGCGACGAUCAGUAGCUGGUCUGAGAGGAUGAUCAGCCACAUUGGGACUGAGACACGGCCCAAACUCCUACGGGAGGCAGCAGUGGGGAAUAUUGGACAAUGGGGGCAACCCUGAUCCAGCCAUGCCGCGUGAGUGAUGAAGGCCCUAGGGUUGUAAAGCUCUUUUGUGCGGGAAGAUAAUGACGGUACCGCAAGAAUAAGCCCCGGCUAACUUCGUGCCAGCAGCCGCGGUAAUACGAAGGGGGCUAGCGUUGCUCGGAAUCACUGGGCGUAAAGGGUGCGUAGGCGGGUCUUUAAGUCAGGGGUGAAAUCCUGGAGCUCAACUCCAGAACUGCCUUUGAUACUGAAGAUCUUGAGUUCGGGAGAGGUGAGUGGAACUGCGAGUGUAGAGGUGAAAUUCGUAGAUAUUCGCAAGAACACCAGUGGCGAAGGCGGCUCA
This 628-nucleotide ribosomal RNA is filed under the name Bradyrhizobium japonicum. RNAcentral describes it as "bacterial SSU rRNA". It matches the Rfam family "Bacterial small subunit ribosomal RNA", at positions 56 to 728 of the family's 1533-position model. The record is from RNAcentral. Lineage: Bacteria; Pseudomonadati; Pseudomonadota; Alphaproteobacteria; Hyphomicrobiales; Nitrobacteraceae.